AACGCUGGCGGCAUGCCUUACACAUGCAAGUCGAACGGCAGCACGGGGGCAACCCUGGUGGCGAGUGGCGAACGGGUGAGUAAUACAUCUGGAACGUGUCCUGUAGUGGGGGAUAGCCCGGCGAAAGCCGGAUUAAUACCGCAUACGCUCUACGGAGGAAAGGGGGGGAUCUUAGGACCUCCCGCUACAGGGGCGGCCGAUGGCAGAUUAGCUAGUUGGUGGGGUAAAGGCCUACCAAGGCGACGAUCUGUAGCUGGUCUGAGAGGACGACCAGCCACACUGGGACUGAGACACGGCCCAGACUCCUACGGGAGG
This 315-nucleotide ribosomal RNA is filed under the name uncultured Burkholderia BU1. RNAcentral describes it as "bacterial SSU rRNA". It matches the Rfam family "Bacterial small subunit ribosomal RNA", at positions 32 to 348 of the family's 1533-position model. Lineage: Bacteria; Pseudomonadati; Pseudomonadota; Betaproteobacteria; Burkholderiales; Burkholderiaceae. The record is from RNAcentral.